Molecule: long non-coding RNA, 843 nt
Filed under: Mytilus galloprovincialis (Mediterranean mussel)
Lineage: Eukaryota; Metazoa; Mollusca; Bivalvia; Mytilida; Mytilidae
Source: RNAcentral
AGGACAUUCAAACUGACGGAGAAUGUGCGUCUGUCAUGUAGAGGUAUAACACAAUUAAGAAAGAAGUUUUCAAACUGACGGAGAAUAUGCGUCUGUCAUGUAGAGGUAUAACACAAUUAAGAAAGAAUGACAUUCAAACUGACGGAGAAUGUGCAUCUGUCAUGUAGAGGUAUAACACAAUUAAGAAAGAAGGACAUUCAAACUGACGGAGAAUGUGCAUCUGUCAUGUAGAGGUAUAACACAAUUAAGAAAGAAUGACAUACAAACUGACAGAGAUUGUGCGUCUGUCAUGUAGAGGUAUAACACAAUUAAGAAAGAAGGACAUUAAAACUGACGGAGAAUAUGCGCUGUCUUGUCAAUGUGAGAGAAGGUAGGUAUAACACAAUUAAGAAGAAAGGACUUUCAAAAACUGACGGAGAAUGUGCGUCUGUCAUGUAGAGGUAUAACACAAAUUAAGAAGAAGGACUAUCAAAGUGACGAGAAUGUGCGUCUGUCAUGUAGAGGAUAACACAAUUAAGAAAGAAGGAAUUCAAAGUGACGGAGAAUAUGCGUCUGUCAUGUAGAGGUAUAACACAAUUAAGAAAGAAGGACAUUCAAACUGACGGAGAAUGUGCGUCUGUCAUGUAGAGGUAUAACACAAUUAAGAACGAAGGACAUUCAAACUGACGGAGAAUGUGCGUCUGUCAUGUAGAGGUAUAACACAAUUAAGAAAGAAUGACAUUCAAACUGACAGAGAAUAUGCGUCUGUCAUGUAGAGGUAUAACACAAUUAAGAAAGAAGGACAUUAAAACUGACCGAGAAUGUGCGUCUGUCAUGUAGAGGUAUAACACAAUUAAGAAAGAA